This 1479-nucleotide long non-coding RNA is filed under the name Taeniopygia guttata (zebra finch). RNAcentral's name for it is "lncRNA (ENSTGUG00000019044.1)". Lineage: Eukaryota; Metazoa; Chordata; Aves; Passeriformes; Estrildidae. The record is from RNAcentral.
ACAAAGGACAAAGUACUGAACCUUUCUAUUUGCUAAUACAUUUAACACGUUAGCGGGCCGGUUUUUUUAGGCAGAAUAAAAGGAAGCCACCAAUCAAACAUUUUUUAAGCUUUAUUUGGGCUUUAUUUAAACUCAGAUGGUAGAUUUUAAAAUGGAGUUCUAUAUCAGAAACUCACUUGCAGUAUUUGUGAGCAUUAAUGCACCAAGUGGAUCUGUGUAAGAGAAUGUCUGAGCUUCAACCCAAGAUCUCAAUGUAAAAAAGUUUCAAAACCCUUUUUCUCAGUUGCAGACUGGGGUCUUUCAUCCUUCUGCUGGAGUAAUUCCCUGAAGCCUUAAUGCCAUGCAUUCAGUGGUGUUGUCCUGGUGCUGCACUGUCAUCUGCAGUGCCCCUGCACAUAGUUAAUUACUCUGCAUUACUCAUCAUCCUUUUUCCCAGAGUGACUAAACCAGAAGCAUAAUUCUUUUUUAACACAUGGGACAGGACAGAUUUUGUUUUCCUUUGUGUAGGACCAUCAGCAGCAUCACUUAUUCUGAAACACUGACAAUUCCCUCUGAAUUUCUGUCUUUUUUACUUUCGACCUUAGGGCAAGAUGUCCAUGGAGCCUUGGAAAAUCCCAUGGUGGAUACAAGCCUGUUGGAAGAAUUCAUUAGUAGUGACAUAGAGUUUGGAACUUUGUAAGUAUUAUAGCAACAUUUACUUCCUCUCCUUAGCCACAGGUCUUGAAUUAUUUUAUUAGUGCCAUGAUAAAAUCUGAGUUUCAAGAGGAUUUUGGCUCUCUUGACAUUGUUUCUGAAGCUGCAUAGGAGAACUUAGAAAAAAUAAACUACAGCCAGUAAUGGAAAUAUGGUUGCCUUCUUGUUCAACAGAACAAAUGAUAAUAAAAUUUGAGUUGAUUCAUGACUGUUGAACUAAUUGUGACAUCAAAUGCAGAACUGUUACUUUAACUUUCCUCUAAGUGCUAAUUUACUAUUUAUGUACAGAAUAAGUGAUAAAGGUGAGACUACUGUAUAAUAAAUUGAGAGAUUAACAGAAGUUUCCCAGUUUGAAGGAAGCAGAGCUACUGUUUUCCCCCUAAUACUUAGUUAGAACAGAAACUCCAUCAUGUCUUUUGAGACUAACUUUAAAGCAAUCAAAGGAUACAAGGUGCAAAGGCUUAUGGUCAGGGGUGAAAAAUUAUGAAAAAUUAUGUAGUAUAGAUCUAUCACCUCAAAUCUUUCAUCUAGACAACUGUCAGAUGAUUGUUGUUCAAGGCAAAGUACUAUUAAUAGACUGACACUUGCACUUGCCAAGAAGCAAAGCAAGAAGGGAUUUUUUAAAAAUAAUUAAGCAUGGAAUUUUACAUUUUAGACAGACUCAGCAGCACAUUUACUUAAAGUGGGCCAAAUAGGCCCCUGGCUGCGCUAAGUCUAAUGAAUUGAUUCUCUUUGCCCACACUAUAAAUGUAAAGAAGAAUGAAGAGAAGGUUGUAUAUAAAUAUC